RNAcentral lists this ribosomal RNA (1527 nucleotides) under Salmonella enterica subsp. enterica serovar Enteritidis. RNAcentral describes it as "bacterial SSU rRNA". It matches the Rfam family "Bacterial small subunit ribosomal RNA". The record is from RNAcentral. Lineage: Bacteria; Pseudomonadati; Pseudomonadota; Gammaproteobacteria; Enterobacterales; Enterobacteriaceae.
AUUGAACGCUGGCGGCAGGCCUAACACAUGCAAGUCGAACGGUAACAGGAAGCAGCUUGCUGCUUUGCUGACGAGUGGCGGACGGGUGAGUAAUGUCUGGGAAACUGCCUGAUGGAGGGGGAUAACUACUGGAAACGGUGGCUAAUACCGCAUAACGUCGCAAGACCAAAGAGGGGGACCUUCGGGCCUCUUGCCAUCAGAUGUGCCCAGAUGGGAUUAGCUUGUUGGUGAGGUAACGGCUCACCAAGGCGACGAUCCCUAGCUGGUCUGAGAGGAUGACCAGCCACACUGGAACUGAGACACGGUCCAGACUCCUACGGGAGGCAGCAGUGGGGAAUAUUGCACAAUGGGCGCAAGCCUGAUGCAGCCAUGCCGCGUGUAUGAAGAAGGCCUUCGGGUUGUAAAGUACUUUCAGCGGGGAGGAAGGUGUUGUGGUUAAUAACCGCAGCAAUUGACGUUACCCGCAGAAGAAGCACCGGCUAACUCCGUGCCAGCAGCCGCGGUAAUACGGAGGGUGCAAGCGUUAAUCGGAAUUACUGGGCGUAAAGCGCACGCAGGCGGUCUGUCAAGUCGGAUGUGAAAUCCCCGGGCUCAACCUGGGAACUGCAUUCGAAACUGGCAGGCUUGAGUCUUGUAGAGGGGGGUAGAAUUCCAGGUGUAGCGGUGAAAUGCGUAGAGAUCUGGAGGAAUACCGGUGGCGAAGGCGGCCCCCUGGACAAAGACUGACGCUCAGGUGCGAAAGCGUGGGGAGCAAACAGGAUUAGAUACCCUGGUAGUCCACGCCGUAAACGAUGUCUACUUGGAGGUUGUGCCCUUGAGGCGUGGCUUCCGGAGCUAACGCGUUAAGUAGACCGCCUGGGGAGUACGGCCGCAAGGUUAAAACUCAAAUGAAUUGACGGGGGCCCGCACAAGCGGUGGAGCAUGUGGUUUAAUUCGAUGCAACGCGAAGAACCUUACCUGGUCUUGACAUCCACAGAAGAAUCCAGAGAUGGAUUUGUGCCUUCGGGAACUGUGAGACAGGUGCUGCAUGGCUGUCGUCAGCUCGUGUUGUGAAAUGUUGGGUUAAGUCCCGCAACGAGCGCAACCCUUAUCCUUUGUUGCCAGCGGUUAGGCCGGGAACUCAAAGGAGACUGCCAGUGAUAAACUGGAGGAAGGUGGGGAUGACGUCAAGUCAUCAUGGCCCUUACGACCAGGGCUACACACGUGCUACAAUGGCGCAUACAAAGAGAAGCGACCUCGCGAGAGCAAGCGGACCUCAUAAAGUGCGUCGUAGUCCGGAUUGGAGUCUGCAACUCGACUCCAUGAAGUCGGAAUCGCUAGUAAUCGUGGAUCAGAAUGCCACGGUGAAUACGUUCCCGGGCCUUGUACACACCGCCCGUCACACCAUGGGAGUGGGUUGCAAAAGAAGUAGGUAGCUUAACCUUCGGGAGGGCGCUUACCACUUUGUGAUUCAUGACUGGGGUGAAGUCGUAACAAGGUAACCGUAGGGGAACCUGCGGUUGGAUCACCUCCUUACCUUAAAGAAGC